RNAcentral lists this ribosomal RNA (253 nucleotides) under uncultured bacterium. Its description in RNAcentral is "partial 16S ribosomal RNA". It matches the Rfam family "Bacterial small subunit ribosomal RNA", at positions 524 to 776 of the family's 1533-position model. The record is from RNAcentral.
UACGGAGGGUGCAAGCGUUAUCCGGAUUCACUGGGUUUAAAGGGUGCGUAGGUGGGUCUGUAAGUCAGUGGUGAAAUCUCCGGGCUUAACCCGGAAACUGCCAUUGAUACUAUAGGUCUUGAAUUUUCUGGAGGACAGCGGAAUAUGUCAUGUAGCGGUGAAAUGCUUAGAUAUGACAUAGAACACCAAUUGCGAAGGCAGCUGGCUACAGGAACAUUGACACUGAGGCACGAAAGCGUGGGGAUCAAACAGG